Molecule: ribosomal RNA, 490 nt
Filed under: uncultured bacterium
Lineage: Bacteria
Description: partial 16S ribosomal RNA
Rfam family: Bacterial small subunit ribosomal RNA
Source: RNAcentral
AUUGAACGCUGGCGGCAGGCCUAACACAUGCAAGUCGAACGGUAACAGGAAGAAGCUUGCUUCUUUGCUGACGAGUGGCGGACGGGUGAGUAAUGUCUGGGAAACUGCCUGAUGGAGGGGGAUAACUACUGGAAACGGUAGCUAAUACCGCAUAACGUCGCAAGACCAAAGAGGGGGACCUUCGGGCCUCUUGCCAUCGGAUGUGCCCAGAUGGGAUUCGCUAGUAGGUGGGGUAACGGCUCACCUAGGCGACGAUCCCUAGCUGGUCUGAGAGGAUGACCAGCCACACUGGAACUGAGACACGGUCCAGACUCCUACGGGAGGCAGCAGUGGGGAAUAUUGCACAAUGGGCGGAAGCCUGAUGCAGCCAUGCCGCGUGUAUGAAGAAGGCCUUCGGGUUGUAAAGUACUUUCAGCGGGGAGGAAGGGAGUAAAGUUAAUACCUUUGCUCAUUGACGUUACCCGCAGAAGAAGCACCGGCUAACUCCGUG